UAAAGUUGUUGCGGUUAAAAAGCUCGUAGUCGAAGGUGUGUCUCGGACGGUCGGUUCGCCGCUUGUCGGUGCUCAACUGGCCGGUCCGGACGUCCUGCCGGUGGGGCCGCGAGGCUCCGUUAUCCUUCUUUGGUCCUCUUCACCGAGUGCCUUGGUGGGCCGGCACGUUUACUUUGAACAAAUUAGAGUGCUCAAAGCAGGCCGUUGGUCGCCUGAAUACUGUGUGCAUGGAAUAAUGGAAUAGGACCUCGGUUCCAUUUUGUUGGUUUUCAGAACUCGAGGUAAUGAUUAAUAGGGACGGACGGGGGCAUUCGUAUUGCGACGUUAGAGGUGAAAUUCUUGGAUCGUCGCAAGACGAACCGAUGCGAAAGCAUUUGCCAAGAACGUUUUCGUUGAUCAAGAACGAAAGUUAGAGGUUCGAAGGCGAUCAGAUACCGCCCUAGUUCUAACCAUAAACGAUGCCAGCUAGCCAUCCGCCGAAGUUCCUUCUAUGACUCGGCGGGCAGCUUCCGGGAAACCAAAGCUCUUGGGUUCCGGGGGAAGUAUGGUUGCAAAGCUCAAACUUAAAGGAAUUGAC
This 577-nucleotide ribosomal RNA is filed under the name Nososticta solida. RNAcentral describes it as "SSU rRNA". It matches the Rfam family "Eukaryotic small subunit ribosomal RNA", at positions 605 to 1157 of the family's 1831-position model. The record is from RNAcentral. Lineage: Eukaryota; Metazoa; Arthropoda; Insecta; Odonata; Platycnemididae.